RNAcentral lists this ribosomal RNA (435 nucleotides) under uncultured bacterium. RNAcentral describes it as "partial 16S ribosomal RNA". It matches the Rfam family "Bacterial small subunit ribosomal RNA", at positions 29 to 507 of the family's 1533-position model. The record is from RNAcentral.
AGCGAACGCUGGCGGCAGGCUUAACACAUGCCAGUCGAGCGGGCAUCUUCGGAUGUCAGCGGCAGACGGGUGAGUAACACGUGGGAACGUACCCUUCGGUUCGGAACAACUCUGGGAAACUGGAGCUAAUACCGGAUACGCCCUUAUGGGGAAAGGUUUACUGCCGAAGGAUCGGCCCGCGUCUGAUUAGCUAGUUGGUGGGGUAACGGCCUACCAAGGCGACGAUCAGUAGAUGGUCUGAGAGGAUGAUCAGCCACACUGGGACUGAGACACGGCCCAGACUCCUACGGGAGGCAGCAGUGGGGAAUAUUGGAAAACGGGGGCAAGCCUGAUCCAGCCAUGCCGGGUGAGUGAUGAAGGCCUUAGGGUUGUAAAGCUCUUUUGUCCGGGACGAUAAUGACGGUACCGGAAGAAUAAGCCCCGGCUAACUUCGUG